This 253-nucleotide ribosomal RNA is filed under the name uncultured bacterium. RNAcentral's name for it is "partial 16S ribosomal RNA". It matches the Rfam family "Bacterial small subunit ribosomal RNA", at positions 524 to 776 of the family's 1533-position model. The record is from RNAcentral.
UACAGAGGUGGCGAGCGUUACUCGGAUUUAUUGGGUGUAAAGGGCAAGUAGGCGUCCCGACAAGUUAGAAGUGAAAUCCUGCAGCUUAACUGCAGAACUGCUUUUAAAACUGUUAGGAUUGAGACUGGAAGAGGAAAGCGGAAUUCUCGGUGUAAGAGUGAAAUCUGUAGAUAUCGAGAGGAACACCAGUGGCGAAGGCGGCUUUCUGGUCCAGUACUGACGCUGAAUUGCGAAAGCUAGGGGAGCAAACAGG